Molecule: transfer RNA, 68 nt
Filed under: Epinephelus costae (goldblotch grouper)
Lineage: Eukaryota; Metazoa; Chordata; Actinopteri; Perciformes; Serranidae
Description: transfer RNA-val
Rfam family: tRNA
About the family: Transfer RNA (tRNA) molecules are approximately 80 nucleotides in length.
Source: RNAcentral
CGAAGCAUAGUUCAGUAGAAUACCUCUUUUACACUGAGUAGGUACUCGUUCAAUUCGAGUUGCUUUGA